GGCAGGAAACACGUGAACGGUCGCAGGUCUCGGGCUAGGCAGGGGCCGUCUGCUUAUGCAGGAGAUGUGGACAGAAUCGCUUUUCCACAAAUUCCUCACAGCCUGAGGGUGAAGGAACUUCACAGCAAGUUGCUUCUGACUGAAGAGAGCUGGGACAACCACGGGCAUCCCUGGCACCCUUCACGAGUGACCGUUUCUAGUAACAGCAUGAAGAAGUCUUACAGACGAAGUCCCACCCAGGCGUCGAAUUCUGAAGACGCCUUUAAAGGUAACUGAAACUGAGGACAGUGGGACUGCAGCGGCGGCGGGGAGGCCACUGCACUGUUUCUCCUGCAAGAGAAAAGCAGGGACGAGGAGAAAGCUCCGUAAGGAGGGUGUGCUCAAGCGGCACUUCUGGCCCCAGAAGCCACUUGCACUGGGCUGAUGCAGCUGGACUCAGAAAACCGCCCGAGUGCUGGGGCUGCAGGUGUGUGCCACCAUGCCCGGCAACCGUAAUGUUUUAAAUCAGACUCUGAACAUCUUGAAACUACA
Molecule: long non-coding RNA, 531 nt
Organism: Chinchilla lanigera (long-tailed chinchilla)
Lineage: Eukaryota; Metazoa; Chordata; Mammalia; Rodentia; Chinchillidae
Exons: 2
Source: RefSeq, a predicted model, not a curated record